Canis lupus familiaris (dog) is the source of this 1401-nucleotide long non-coding RNA. RefSeq lists it as uncharacterized. The transcript has 3 exons. NCBI's taxonomy places the organism in Eukaryota, Metazoa, Chordata, Mammalia, Carnivora, Canidae. The record is from RefSeq and is a predicted model, not a curated record.
UCCGUCCCAGGACCCCACGAUGACACCUUGAGCUCAAGACAGACUGAGCCACCCAGGUAGUGUUGUGUAAUGGGAUAUUAAGUUGAAAAGAUCAGUGGAGGCACAAAGAGAUGUUAAAUACCAGAUGCCAGUGUGAACUGUAAAUCAUACCACCAGAAGUUUUAAAAUUUGGCAGGAAGUUUGGGAAACCAAACUGAGAAAGUAAAUAAGAAUGAGGAUGGAUACACAGCCAGGUCACACCCAAAAGUAAGUGACAGAACUGGUCAAGCGAUGACACUGCCAACUCCACCAAUCACCAGGAUCCACGACUUGUACUCCUUACAUUGACAGAACUGGACCAAGGAUUCUAACAUUGAUAUAAAUGCUGUUGAUAUAUCUUUGAGCUCUCAAAACUGGAUGUCAGUACAGCCAUUGUCACCAUAAUGGGAAUAAAUCCUUUUCUUUCCAUGCUUCUUUGAAUCACCAGCUCCUCAUCUGACCUUGGAAGCAGGUGCAUCUAAUUUGCUAAACCUAGCCCAUGCAUCUGCAUUCUAACUAAACAGAAAGCUGUGAACAAAUACCUACUUUUAGCCACCCACAAUGGGAGAUGGGCUCUAUCCUUCACUAUAAUUCAUACUAGAUAAGGAAUUGGUCCAUCGGCAGCACAGCCAAAAAGACUUUGACAAAUGUUUUCUUUAUAUAUGGAGUGUAUGCAAAUGAAUAACAGGGUCUUCAAUGAAUAUGGAAAGUUGGGGAAAUUUUUGAAGAAUACAUAACUUAAGCAGAGACCCAAAGGAUGAAUAAAAUCUAGCCUGAUUGAAGGCAGGAAGAGGAAGGAGGUGUCAUGAACAAAGGGGAGAACAUAUGUGAAGAUUUGUCUGUAAGAAGGAGCUUGGUGUUAAGAACUGAGUGAAAUCCAUUUACUUUGAAAUGAAACCAGGGAGUUGGGUGAAGUUUUGGUUCUCUAGGGCCUUCUAGGUCAUGCUUAAGACUAUGAAAUUUAUCCUAAGAAACCUAUAAAAACAGUGCAAGGUUAGAGGGGAGUAAACUUUUAAAGUACAAGCUUUAAAGAUAUAACUUGGGGCUCUAGGUAAAAAAAAUUAAUUUGCACUCAAAAUGUUGAAACCAUCCAACAGUGAAUGGGAAAGCAGUGUGGUAAAGGGGUAAUGUUAGAAACUUUGGAGUAAACAGACUUGCUUAUCUUGAACAAAUUACUUAAACCCCCUGAGACUCAUUCCUCACUUCCCAAAAUGGAUUUAUUUUCCUUUAUUUAUCUACCUUCAGGUUACUGUGAAGUGAAAUUAAAUAGAAGCUGUAAUUUUUAUUGUAAAAUGCUCUCAAAUAUAAAAUAUGUAAUAAGUAUUUAGUGAGUGCUCACUUAUUCUGCUAAGCAUGGAAGAAGGUGUACAAGUUUAUGAAACC